GAAACAAGACACCCAUUUCAGGAUUUCUAAUCCAUGUUAUUAGAGGUGAAACUCCUUUAUUGUUUCU
This 67-nucleotide transfer RNA is filed under the name Vargula hilgendorfii (sea firefly). RNAcentral describes it as "tRNA-Ser". The record is from RNAcentral. Lineage: Eukaryota; Metazoa; Arthropoda; Ostracoda; Myodocopida; Cypridinidae.